AGUAACGGCGAGUGAACAGGGAAAAGCCCAAAUUUGUAAUCUGGCACUUUUUACAAGUGUCCGAGUUGUAAUUUGUAGAGCUGUUAUCCGUACUGGACCAUGUACAAGUCUGUUGAAAAGCAGCAUCAUUGAAGGUGAAAAUCCUGUAGAUGAUAUGGACUACCAGUAUAUUUGUGAUACGGUUUCUAAGAGUCGAGUUGUUUGGGAAUGCAGCUCAAAGUGGGUGGUAAAUUCCAUCUAAGGCUAAAUAUAAGUGAGAGACCGAUAGCAAACAAGUACCGUGAGGGAAAGAUGAAAAGAACUUUGAAAAUAGAGUUAACAGUACGUGAAAUUGCUGAAAGGGAAACGUUUGAAGUUAGUUUUGUAUUCGUUGGAUCAGCUUCGCAAGGAGUGUAUUCUGAUGAUAAGCAAGUCAACAUCAGUCUAUGAGUGUUGGAUAAGGGUUUUGAGAAUGUAGCAAUUUAAUUGUGUUAUAGCUUGAGACUUGGAUACGAUGCUUUGGAUUGAGGAACGCGUAGUAAGCUUUGAGCGGAUUCGAAAGGAUCUCCUUACUAUGGAUGUUGGUGAAAUAACUUAACGCGACCCAUCUU
This 590-nucleotide ribosomal RNA is filed under the name Melampsora arctica. Its description in RNAcentral is "partial large subunit ribosomal RNA". It matches the Rfam family "Eukaryotic large subunit ribosomal RNA", at positions 82 to 655 of the family's 3401-position model. The record is from RNAcentral. Lineage: Eukaryota; Fungi; Basidiomycota; Pucciniomycetes; Pucciniales; Melampsoraceae.